GACAGAGGGUGCAAACGUUGUUCGGAUUUACUGGGCGUAAAGGGCGCGUAGGCGGCGUGGUAAGUCACUUGUGAAAUCUCUGAGCUUAACUCAGAACGGUCAAGUGAUACUGCUGUGCUAGAGUGCGGUAGGGGCAAUCGGAAUUCUCGGUGUAGCGGUGAAAUGCGUAGAUAUCGAGAGGAACACCUGAGGUGAAGACGGGUUGCUGGGCCGACACUGACGCUGAGUGCGCGAAAGCCAGGGGAGCAAACGGG
This 254-nucleotide ribosomal RNA is filed under the name uncultured bacterium. Its description in RNAcentral is "partial 16S ribosomal RNA". It matches the Rfam family "Bacterial small subunit ribosomal RNA", at positions 524 to 776 of the family's 1533-position model. The record is from RNAcentral.